This 723-nucleotide long non-coding RNA is filed under the name Equus caballus (horse). RNAcentral's name for it is "lncRNA (ENSECAG00000052207.1)". The record is from RNAcentral. Lineage: Eukaryota; Metazoa; Chordata; Mammalia; Perissodactyla; Equidae.
CUCAACUCGGGGCAGCAGCAGGAGCUCUGACUGCCCUUGGGUCCUGUCCCCAUGCAGCAGCGGCAGCAGCUCUUCACUGCCCAUGGGUCCUGUCCCCAUGCUAUUCCAUACUAUUCUCUAAAUAAAAAAGCACUACUGCCAGUCCUUGAGAGUCCAAGAAAUCUUUCUUUCGACUCUUCGGCUCGCCAUCCCCGCAUCAUGACCACCAGAAGUCAGAAUUCUAACAUCAAGAUGUUGACAGAGCAGUAUUCCUUCUGGAGCUUUCAGAAGACAACCUGGGAACCCGUUUCCUUGCCUUUUCCAGCGUCCAGAGGCUGUCUGUCUUCCUUGGCUCAUGGCUCCUUCCUGCAUUUUCAAACCCCUUUACAAGUCUGAUCAUUCUCCUCUGAACACACUCCAGGAUGUGGAUAUUCCUCGUAAACUGCAAUAACCAGAAUUGAACUCAGCACUCCAUGUGAGAUCUAUCAGGAAGGACAAACCUGUCCUGAGAUGGCCUUAGCUGCAGAGAGAUGCCUUGCUCAAAAGCGUGACCUACCUGGGGUACUCACAUCCAUUGACUGAUCACGGCGGGGCGAUAAAGACCUGACAUUUUUGGCUCACUAGGGGGCAACUCCAGUGGGCCAUAUUGGCUCUGGAGCUCCCUGUGAGUUGCGCUGAGGCCUUCAGACCUGCAUCACAGCUCAACUUAUCCCUCUGUUCAAUUGCUUCCUCCUCCUUGCUUCC